RNAcentral lists this ribosomal RNA (251 nucleotides) under uncultured bacterium. RNAcentral describes it as "partial 16S ribosomal RNA". It matches the Rfam family "Bacterial small subunit ribosomal RNA", at positions 524 to 773 of the family's 1533-position model. The record is from RNAcentral.
UACAGAGGGUGCAAGCGUUAAUCGGAAUUACUGGGCGUAAAGCGUGCGCAGACGGUUGCGUAAGUCAGAUGUGAAAGCCCCGGGCUCAACCUGGGAAUUGCAUUUGGAGACUGCGUAGCUAGGGUGCGGAAGAGGGAAGCGGAAUUUCCGGUGUAGCGGUGAAAUGACGUAGAUAUCGGAAGGAACACCAGUGGCGAAAGCGGCUUCCUGGUCCAGCACCGACGUCAGGCACGAAAGCGUGGGGAGCAAAC